This 35-nucleotide transfer RNA is filed under the name Cercidiphyllum japonicum. RNAcentral describes it as "partial transfer RNA-Phe". The record is from RNAcentral. Lineage: Eukaryota; Viridiplantae; Streptophyta; Magnoliopsida; Saxifragales; Cercidiphyllaceae.
UCGGGAGAGCUCAGCUGGUAGAGCAGAGGACUGAA